UGGGGAAUCUUGCGCAAUGCGCGAAAGCGUGACGCAGCAACGCCGCGUGGGGGAAGACGGCCUUCGGGUUGUAAACCCCUUUCAGUUGGGACGAAGCUCCUGCCGUUAAUAGCGGUGUGGAGUGACGGUACCUUCAGAAGAAGCCCCGGCUAACUACGUGCCAGCAGCCGCGGUAAUACGUAGGGGGCAAGCGUUGUCCGGAAUUAUUGGGCGUAAAGAGCGUGUAGGCGGCCCGGUAAGUCCAUCGUGAAAGUCCAGGGCUCAACCCUGGAAGGCCGGUGGAAACUAUCGGGCUGGAGUCCGGAAGAGGCGAGUGGAAUUCCUGGUGUAGCGGUGAAAUGCGCAGAUAUCAGGAGGAACACCAAUGGCGAAGGCAGCUCGCUGGGACGGUACUGACGCUGAGACGCGAAAGCGUGGGGAGCAAACAGG
RNAcentral lists this ribosomal RNA (429 nucleotides) under uncultured bacterium. RNAcentral describes it as "bacterial SSU rRNA". It matches the Rfam family "Bacterial small subunit ribosomal RNA", at positions 355 to 776 of the family's 1533-position model. The record is from RNAcentral.